This is a long non-coding RNA of Aethalodelphis obliquidens (Pacific white-sided dolphin), 1187 nucleotides long. RefSeq lists it as uncharacterized. The transcript is spliced from 3 exons. The record is from RefSeq and is a predicted model, not a curated record. NCBI's taxonomy places the organism in Eukaryota, Metazoa, Chordata, Mammalia, Artiodactyla, Delphinidae.
UCUGCUCGGGCGCCUCAAAAUCUUCCCUGAGAGUUAAGCAUAAGAGGAGAGGAAAAGUGGAGAGUUUUCCUGCAAGAAUCGCACGGGGUCUUGGAGUGUUUCUCAAUCCCACUUGAGCAAUAUAACUUCCAAUAUUAACCUGACCUUAUUUUUCCAUCUUUCUUAGGCUGCCUAUUUCCUAGACACACAGUUUCUGUGCUUAGCAGUACCUGCUAAAAAAAAAGUUUAAAAGUUUCCAGAAGGAAGAUAGAGUUAAGAGAAUCAAGUGCAAGACCAGCCAGAAGAAGAGGAAAGGUCUUUCUGAGAAUAUGAUGUCUUCACGGCCAGGAAGUUAAAGAAGUUUCGUUACCACACUUGAGACCUGAGAAGCUCUGAGGCCGGGGCAGGGCAAGAAAGUCUUUGCCUCCAAUCAUGAGGAGAAAGGGCGGAGGAAGGGUGGCUUCUAGCUGCUUGAUCUAGCAAAUUGGAGGCCCUGAUAUCUCCCUACUACCUCAGACCACCAAAGACGUAAAUGCAGGGCUUUGAGGAAGCAGUAGUGUCACUCUCACUGCCUCCUGGGCUCCAGGACUUUCUGCCAAACAAUGGCUGCCCAAGGGUGAGGAUGACCAUGUUAAACUGACAUUAUUUAGAAUUACUGGAGCACCGUGAUGACGAAAAGCAAAUCUAUCUUUAGUCAGUAAUAUUAGUCUCUAAAUUUGGAAUAGACAAUAAAACUUCUUACUGCCUGUACCUAGAUGAACUGCUCUCACCCAUACCUUUCAUAUACCACUCAGUUAUUCCAACUGGCCCAACUUCCCAUGCUUCAGAUUCUCCAUACAUACACCCCUUGUUCGGAACACGCUCCCCAAGAUUCCCAAGACUAGAUUCGUAUUCCUCAGAGUUCAGCUCGAAUGUCAUUACCUCACUGGGGCCUUUCAAGUCAAAUCUAAUUACAUAUACACACCCCUCUUAUAUACUCUCUCUUUAUCCUGUUGCUUCCUUGAUUUCUCUUUCACUACUUACAAUUAUUUUUUUUAAUUUGUAUAUUCAUUUUACACUGGUAGCUCCAAGAGGUCAAGAUCUACUCUUAUUCAUUUAUCACUAUGUACCAGGAGCUAACAUGUGCCUGGAAUAUAGUAUGUGAUCAAUAAAUAUUGUUGAUUAAAUAAAUGGAUGACUGAGUGAAUGAAUAAAUAUUUACAAAUGUU